Molecule: long non-coding RNA, 565 nt
Filed under: Apteryx rowi (Okarito brown kiwi)
Lineage: Eukaryota; Metazoa; Chordata; Aves; Apterygiformes; Apterygidae
Description: lncRNA (ENSARWG00000013094.1)
Source: RNAcentral
GCGCGACCCUCACCGCGGCCGCGGCGCUAACGGCACGGCAGAGCCGCCGGGGCUCCAGCUGGCGGCUGCCCGGGGCCUCCCCGCGGUGCCCGGCUGGGCCGGGGAGGGGUCUGGCCCCGGUGCGCGGGAAGGAGAAGCCUUGGCGGCCUGGCACUGAGCCCCGCGGGCGCUGGCGGCCGAGCGAGACGCGACAUCGGGCCCGGGGCGGCUGGGAGAAGGGGGUCGCUCUCAGCACGGACGACGCCUGGGUGCGAACACGGGCCUAGGGAGUGAGCGGCAGCAGAUGAGCUUGAAGGCCUGGGAAGGAUGCAAAGGAGAAGAGGAAAGAGGUGGAGACAAUGUGCUGCCUUUGCUUCCUGGCCCGCUGGUGGGAGACAAGGCUCUGCAUGGUGUAGGAGCACCUUCUCCCUGCCAGCUCCAAGGGAACAUUUCUGACAAGUGGAGGAGGAGCUUCUGCAGGAUUUUGAGAUCUGCUGCACAGUACUGCAGGCGUGGAUGGAGAAAUAGCUACCAGAGAACAGCAGGCCAAAGAGAGGAAGAGUACAUUCUGAGAGAGAGGUUGUGA